Molecule: long non-coding RNA, 4575 nt
Organism: Anolis carolinensis (green anole)
Lineage: Eukaryota; Metazoa; Chordata; Lepidosauria; Squamata; Anolidae
Exons: 2
Source: RefSeq, a predicted model, not a curated record
GACCCGUGACGCGCCAAGCUCCGCCCCCUCCUCACCCACUGACCCAGAUACGAGGCCGCAUUCCACAGCCUUGGAGCAGGCGCGCGCUGACCCAGAUCUUGCGGCGGCGCCUCGGGCUCUCGCGCCCACGCUCUUCACGCGCGGCCUUGCUUCACAGGCAGGAAAAGUGGCUCUUCCCGCUUAUUUCCCCAAACAUUGAUGGGGCUCCCAAGUCCCAAAAGCCUCCGCCAGGGUGGCCAGUGGGGGAGGGGUUGUAGUCCAACUAAUAUCAGAAGCCACUUCUACACAGCUGUAUAAAAUCCAGGUUAUCUGCUUUGAAGUGGAUUAUAUGGUAGUGUAGACUCAGAUAAUCCAGUUCAGAGCAGAUAAUGUGGAUUAUCUGCCUUGAUAUUCUGGAUUAUAUGGCAGUGUAGAAGGGCCCUGAGGAACCUACAGCAUCACAGUGCUCUUCUCCACCUGAACUCGCUGCUCUGCAUUUUUUCCAGGGUUGCUGCAGACUCAGCAGCACUCUGACAGUUCACCAUUAGCAGAGAUUUUGCUAACCAUUCUACAAGGCCUUUGCUGCUGAAAGCUUGCAAAGUAUCCUUUUGUUGUGUUGUCGAAGGCUUUCAUGGCCGGGAUCACAGGGUUGUUGUAUGUCUUUCGGGCUGUGUGGCCAUGUUCCAGAAGUAUUCUCUCCUGACGUUUCGCCCACAUCUAUGGCAGGCAUCCUCACAACCUCUGAGGAUGCCUGCCAUAGAUGUGGGCGAAACGUCAGGAGAGAAUACUUCUGGAACAUGGCCACACAGCCCGAAAGACAUACAACAACCCUAUCCAUUUGUUCUUGAGACCGCACCUUUUCCUGGGGAUGAAAUCUCCAUUUUGAGAAGCCUCUUUUGCCUUUUACAGAAGAGAAAAGAAGUCAGAUGUGCUUGUGUGGCCAAGCCAGGCCAGCUCAGACAAGCCAUCGUAAGUACUGACCUCUUGCCUUUGAAACUGGUGCUGAACUCAGAUAGGGAAAGACCUACUCUUUCUAAUAUAGCAACUCAGCACGGGGGCAGAGAAUAUCUCAGGAUUUCUCUGCCAUUGGAAGAAGCUCCAACUACUUUGUCUCCAAGCUAGCUUUGAGCUUAGAUAGGGAAAGAUCUGCUCUUUCUAAUAUAGCAGCUCAGGGCUAGGGUAGAGAGCAUCUCAGGAUCUCUUCGCCUUUGGAGGAAGUUAGCCCAGCAGCUAAGGGGAAAAGCAAGAAAGAAACAUCUGCAUGAUUUUAUAAGUUGACUGUUUAUAUUUGUAACCUUAACUACGUGUGCCAAGUCUGUCAAGGACUUAGAGAAAAUAAAAAUCUUGUUUGAUGUUCAACUUGAAGUGGCCUUGGUUACUGGGACUCCUGAGCUUCGAAGUAAGGCCCCGCAGUUCACCUGGGCAAAGAAAGCAGCACAUCUUAUUUUACCAAAGGUGCCCGGGUGUGACGGCAUAGGAACCAUGGGGAUUGUAGUCAUGGGAUAACACUUAAUACAGUAUUAGAAAUACAAUAAUUAGAAAAAUGUUCUAUUUCUGGUUUGGAAGUGUUAUUUCCAAUUUAAUUGUGACUUGAAGGUUGGGUUUCUGAUCUGAAGGCUACCAGGUUCGAAUCCAACCUCAGGAGAGCGAGGAUGAGCUCCCUCUAUCAGCUCCAGCUCCAUGCGGGGACAUGAGAGAAGCCUCCCACAAGGUGUGUCGAUCCACAACGCCCAUGAUUCACCAGAUAGCACAGUACAGUUGGCCAUGGGAUUAUGGAAACCAUAGCCCCCAACACAUCUUGAGAGCAGUGAAUUGGCCAAAUCUGUGGCAGAUGAAAGAACAGGGCUACAAGCCUUUAUUUUCACCUCCCCAACAGUAGUCGCCACUUGCCACGGACAUUGAAAAAUGUUAUAAGGAUGAUGCACAAAAAUUAGAGGAAAAACAGGUUGGUGCUAAAUUCUUAGCAAGAGUUAUCCAAGGUACAAUAGGAAAUUGCGUAGUAAAAAAUACAAACAGAAAGUCUUCAUAAUGGCAGCACUAUUUUUUUUGGAUGAUCUGUAAUUUCAUAACGUGUUCUUUGUCCAACUGCACAAAGCAUUCUGUUGUUCAAAGCAGCCAUUUCAAAUGUUAUUUUUCUUAAACUGACUCCAAAGAAUGAAUGGACAGAAAUUUACCAAUCAUAACAGCCCCCUGCUGUGCAAAAGAAUGAAAACAUCCUCCCCCUAGAAUGUGCCUUUCUAGUGAUUGCCUUCUCCAAAGCUAUUACUUUUGUUAUUUCCUUCUCUUUCAUCCAAGUAAAUUAGCCCUAUCAGAUAACACAAACACGUGCACCAUUUUGGAAAAUAUGAUAGUAGAAUAUAUGCUUGCAUAUGCAAAUUUUACUUCUCUUUAAGCAUUUAACUAGUUUGGUAUACAGUAGAGUCUCACUUAUCCAACACUCGCUUAUCCAACGUUCUGGAUUAUCCAACGCAUUUUUGUAGUCAAUGUUUUCAAUAUAUCGUGAUAUUUUGGUGCUAAAUUCAUAAAUACAGUAAUUACUAUGUAGCAUUACUGCAUAUUGAACUACUUUUUCUGUCAAAUUUGUUGUAUAACAUGAUGUUUUGGUGCUUAAUUUGUAAAAUCAUAACCUAAUUUGAUGUUUAAUAGGCUUCUCCUUAAUCUCUCCUUAUUAUCCAACAUAUUCGCUUAUCCAACGUUCUGUCGGCCCGUUUAUGUUGGAUAAGUGAGACUCUACUGUAUUUAUUUUCCUUCACUGGAUCUUAAAACAUGAACAGGAUUUAAAAUGCUUAGCAGGAUUUUAAAACAUAUCUUCACUAGACAUUGCAGUUCAGCAGCCUAAUUUGGCAGCUACCAGAAUGGUGGCCAAGCUCUCUCUGCCUCAAUGUAGACAGCAGCAUUAUUUGAACAAGUCCAAAUGCAGUUUAAAGGCAGCAAUAUAAAUUCUUAUGGCUGACUAGAGUAGACCCAAUGAAAUCAUUACAUUUAUUCGCAUGUUGACAUACAGAAUGAUUGGUUGGAUGGGUCUAGUUAGAAGUAAUAAACAGGAUUCCAAAGAUAUAUAUAAAUAUUUAAAAGAUGUACUGUAAUUAGCCACAAUUUAACUUGAAUAUUAGAUUAAUCAGAGAACGAGACAAAACAAGUAUAUGUGAAUUUGUCAGAUGGGCCACAGGAAGUACAACUUGUUUUUAGCCUGAGGGAAUCAGGAAUUCUUUGGUCUGUAAGAUGAAAGGGAGAGAAAUGAGAUGUGUGAAAUUACCGUUGCUCAAGAUCAUGCCAAAGAAGAGAUUAAAAAUCACAUCUUUAGCAUAUUUUCAUAGAUGUCCUAGAGUCACUGAAUAAGCAAGAAAGAUCUUUAUAGGAUUGAGCAUCCCUUAUCUGGAAUUCCAGAAUCUGAAAUAUGGUACUCCAAAACCUAAUGGCCUUUGUUUUCUGAGUGUUCGGUGUACACAAACUUUUUUUUAUGCACAAAAUAAUUAAAAUGUAUUGUGCAUAAAAUAAUGUUUAAGCUAUGUUCAUAAGGUGCUCCACCUUACGGACCACCUUAUUUUUCAUAUUUAGUCUUGGGUCCCAUCUAAAAAGUCUCAUUAUAUGUUUAUAUGCAAAUACAGGUAUUCCAUCUAACAGAUGUAAUGUAAUGCAUGAAAGUGGAAGAAGACAAUAGAAUAGAAAGGACAAAAGACCUCUUCCAGAAAAUUAGAAACAUUGGAGGCAAAUUUCAAGCAAAAAUGGGUAUGAUCAAAAACAAAGAUGGUAAGGACCUAACAGAAGCUGAAAAGCAAACUGAAGAGGUAGUUGCUCUGCCUCCAUCCCCCAAACAAAUCAAGCAUUUGGAAUGUUUGUACACUUCGAAGUGUUGUCGAAGGCUUUCAUGGCCGGGAUCACAGGGUUGUUGUAUGUCUUUCGGGCUGUGUGGCCAUGUUCCAGAAGUAUUCUCUCCUGACGUUUCGCCCACAUCUAUGGCAGGCAUCCUCACAACCUCUGAGGAUGCCUGCCAUAGAUGUGGGCGAAACGUCAGGAGAGAAUACUUCUGGAACAUGGCCACACAGCCCGAAAGACAUACAACAACCCUAUCCAUUUGUUCUUGAGACCGCACCUUUUCCUGGGGAUGAAAUCUCCAUUUUGAGAAGCCUCUUUUGCCUUUUACAGAAGAGAAAAGAAGUCAGAUGUGCUUGUGUGGCCAAGCCAGGCCAGCUCAGACAAGCCAUCGUAAGUACUGACCUCUUGCCUUUGAAACUGGUGCUGAACUCAGAUAGGGAAAGACCUACUCUUUCUAAUAUAGCAACUCAGCACGGGGGCAGAGAAUAUCUCAGGAUUUCUCUGCCAUUGGAAGAAGCUCCAACUACUUUGUCUCCAAGCUAGCUUUGAGCUUAGAUAGGGAAAGAUCUGCUCUUUCUAAUAUAGCAGCUCAGGGCUAGGGUAGAGAGCAUCUCAGGAUCUCUUCGCCUUUGGAGGAAGUUAGCCCAGCAGCUAAGGGGAAAAGCAAGAAAGAAACAUCUGCAUGAUUUUAUAAGUUGACUGUUUAUAUUUGUAACCUUAACUACGUGUGCCAAGUCUGUCAAGGACUUAGAGAAAAUAAAAAUCUUGUUUGAUGUUCAA